GGAGGCGUCCGGACGCCUGGUGGGUCCCGCGGCCUUCAACGCCGACGAGAGGGCGCUCGGCGCCCUCUGGCGGGUUCGAUUCCCGUCCGCCUCCGC
This 96-nucleotide transfer RNA is filed under the name Egicoccus halophilus. RNAcentral describes it as "tRNA-Sec". It matches the Rfam family "Selenocysteine transfer RNA". The record is from RNAcentral. Lineage: Bacteria; Bacillati; Actinomycetota; Nitriliruptoria; Egicoccales; Egicoccaceae.